AACGAACGCUGGCGGCAGGCUUAACACAUGCAAGUCGAGCGCCCAGCACGGGGAGCGGCAGACGGGUGAGUAGCGCGAGGGGACGGACAUAUGGGAGCGGAAUAACCCCGGGAAACGGGUGCCAAUACCGGACAAGCCCUAACGGGGAAAGACUUAUCGCCGAAAGAUCGGCGCGCGUCUGAUUAGCUAGUUGGUGGGGUAAAGGCGCACCAAGGCGACGAGCUGUAGCUGGUCUGAGAGCAUGAUCCGUCACACUGGGACUGAGGCACGGCCCAGACUCCUACGGGGGGCAGCAGUGGGGAAUAUUGGGCGAUGGGCGCAAGCGUGAUCCAGCCAUGCCGCGUGAGUGAUGAUGGCCUUAGGGUUGUAAAGCUCUUUUGUCCGGGAAGUUAAUGACUGUACCGGGAAAAUAAGCCCCGGCUAACUUCGUG
RNAcentral lists this ribosomal RNA (431 nucleotides) under uncultured bacterium. Its description in RNAcentral is "partial 16S ribosomal RNA". It matches the Rfam family "Bacterial small subunit ribosomal RNA", at positions 29 to 507 of the family's 1533-position model. The record is from RNAcentral.